RNAcentral lists this ribosomal RNA (427 nucleotides) under uncultured bacterium. RNAcentral describes it as "bacterial SSU rRNA". It matches the Rfam family "Bacterial small subunit ribosomal RNA", at positions 355 to 774 of the family's 1533-position model. The record is from RNAcentral.
UGGGGAAUUUUGGACAAUGGGCGCAAGCCUGAUCCAGCAAAGCCGCGUGCAGGAUGAAGGCCUUCGGGUUGUAAACUGCUUUUGUACGGAACGAAACGGCUCUGGUUAAUACCUGGGGCUAAUGACGGUACCGUAAGAAUAAGCACCGGCUAACUACGUGCCAGCAGCCGCGGUAAUACGUAGGGUGCGAGCGUUAAUCGGAAUUACUGGGCGUAAAGCGUGCGCAGGCGGUGAUGUAAGACAGAUGUGAAAUCCCCGGGCUCAACCUGGGACCUGCAUUUGUGACUGCAUCGCUGGAGUGCGGCAGAGGGGGAUGGAAUUCCGCGUGUAGCAGUGAAAUGCGUAGAUAUGCGGAGGAACACCGAUGGCGAAGGCAAUCCCCUGGGCCUGCACUGACGCUCAUGCACGAAAGCGUGGGGAGCAAACA